Molecule: long non-coding RNA, 1610 nt
Filed under: Cricetulus griseus (Chinese hamster)
Lineage: Eukaryota; Metazoa; Chordata; Mammalia; Rodentia; Cricetidae
Description: lncRNA (ENSCGRG00015031172.1)
Source: RNAcentral
GAUAGGAAAAUUUUUAAAAUGGAUCGUAUAUGAGUUGUAAUCGAUACAAAGUUGCUCAUUAUAAUAAAUCAUCUGUAUUCUGAAUUUUUGUCAAUUCCGUGGCAAUUUUUAUCUAGAGUUUAUUAUGUUUACUGAGUGGCAAUGAGUUUUGCAUUCUGUGGGGAACUGUAACUGUAUGGGUUAAAAAGCUUGGUUUAUAACUUUGCAUAAAGCGCCCUUCACAGCCUGUGGCUGGCAGGCACUCUGAGUCCCCUUGGGUGUGGCUCUUCCUACCUCCUCUUUUGCCCAUUUCCUGUCCUCACUUCUUGUCUCACUGCCUCUCUGUUACAGAACUCUACCAGGAAGGACCGAGCUCAGCCCUAUGGAAGUUCUGAGACAAACUGAAAGCAAGCUCUGCCACUCGCUGUAGCAGUAAAAUGGGACCCCAGAUCCACCACGAUGUGCCUAGGAAGUGAAAUGACAGUGCCUUUAACUCUUCAAUGUGCGAAGAAACAGAAAAAUCUUGUUAGCUGCAGUUCUAAAAAUUGCAAGUAUCCCACAGUCUGUGCCUUCAUCAGCAAAGAUUCUGCGUGUAUUUUAUUCAACAAAUGUGAAUUCACUUCUAAAAAUAACCAGUGCAGGUUUUCUACAAGCAUGGAGGGUCACCAAGGUUGAAACAAUCAGUCUUGGGCUUGCCCACUUUGAAUGGAAACAAAGUAUUUUCCCCAUCUGGGAGUUUUACUUUUUUUCUCCUUGGCUUCCUAUCUCCUUCCCAUAAGACUCAAAUACUAUUUCAGAAACAUGGAGUAAGAUGGAGCCCCUGCUCGGAUCUUAGUUUCUCUUCCUCUUUUUCCGAUAGCAGGACAUUUGCUUUGUCCUAAGAUGAACUUUGUCAUUUACUUCCACGGUAUGGUUUGACCUGGGAGAUCAUUUCAUCCCUACACUCUGAGAAAAGGAACCAUUGUUUUCAAGCCUUUCCCCUCAAACAUGUAACAUACAUGAUUUAUAUCAUACAAAUUCCUCCGGAAGUUCCGUGUAGAAAAUACCAGGACUCCUCACAUUUGUAGUGGACACCUAAAGCUUUUACUACCAAGAGGAUUCUCAGACAUCUUGACAGAGACACGGCAUGUCUUGGAUAGGAUCCAGGAACAGAAAAGCAAAAGCAACAACAAAACCAACCUGAAUGAAGCAUGAGUUUGAUUGGAGCCCUCAUCCAGUGGCUGAUGGAAGCAGAGACAGACAUCCACAGAUAUACGCUGAGCUGAAAUCGGGAAUUUAGUUGAAGAGAGUGAAGAAUGAAGAGCAAAGGGGUCUGUACCAGGUUGGAGAAACCCACAGGAACAGUUGACCUGAACAAGGGAGAGCACAUCGACCCCAGAUGCUGUCUGGGAGGCCAGUACAGUACUAAUCCAGACCCCUGAACAUGGAUGUCAAUAAGAAGGCCUCUGCAUUCCAGGGAGCCUCUGGUAGUGGAUUAGUAUUUUUUUCCCUGGUGUAAGAAGGGACUUUGAGAGCCCAUUCCAUGUGAAGGGAUGCACUCUGGCCCUGGACACAUGGGGAAGGGCCCAGGCCCAGCACAGGAAGAUUUGGUGUACUUUGUGGAGCCCCCGUUGAGGGCCCUACCCUGCCUG